RNAcentral lists this long non-coding RNA (1183 nucleotides) under Mus musculus (house mouse). RNAcentral describes it as "long non-coding RNA chr8:95373110-95374293". The record is from RNAcentral. Lineage: Eukaryota; Metazoa; Chordata; Mammalia; Rodentia; Muridae.
UGGACAUGUCUCACCUAGGACCAAAGGGAGCCUGCCAAGCUCCCCUCCCAAUGCUAGUGACUAGCUCCUCCUUCCCUAGGCUGCCCAUAUUCUCUUUCAGUGCCCCAUAGGUCUCCGGAGGCUGGGCACUCCCCGCCCGCCCCCACCCCCAGCUUCUGCAGUCCUUGUCCCAACUCUUAAUGACAUGGGGCAGACACACCCACUAGGGUACCAGAGGUCCCUGGGCAGUGUGUGUGAUUGUGGAUGCUCAGCAGGUCACAGACCAAGCUUAUGGGCUUCCUCCCUUCCAGAUUCCUGUCCCCACACAACACUACUAGGCUCAGGCCAGCAGCUCACCCCACACAGAGUCUGUGGAACCCCCAAAGGAAUCCACUAAGGCCUGGGAAGUCUGUCCUAAGGGUGAAAGGGGCCCUCCCUUCCUCUUCUCAUCCUGGAGUCAGCAGGAGGCUUCUGUGGGAAAUGGUACUGUACAGCUGUGGCUCUGUCUCCUCUGCCUCCCUAAAGCCUUGAGCAGUAAAGGGCUGCCAGCCAGGAUCCUCUGGGUCACCGCCGCUUUCCAAGUGGUGGAUUCUUAUAGCCUGGCACUAGAGGUGACAGAUCGGAGGGGCAUGUCCUGCAGCACUCUAGAUGUCCCCUCUGCAGAACCUGAGAGUCAGCAAGGGGUGGGGCGUCCACCCCCCCACUCCCCAUCGUUUAGUUCUGUAGAUAAUCAGCACUGAUUAAAUGUCCAGCCAGCGAGCGUGGCUGCACUUGUACGCUCAGACCCAAGCAUGCCGCAAGGAAGACCUGCUUGGCAGGGUCGGGGCCAAGCGAGGAUGCCGAGGAAUACCCUCCUCCCAGUUUGGUAGGACCUUUGGGAUGGAGUCCAGGAAGGUCAGGGAAGAGUGGGGGGGGGGGGGCAGUAGGAGUCUGGUUGGGCUGAGGUUUACUGGGUUUACUUAACAUUUGGUAGUGAUAAGAGGAGAGGACAGCCCAGCUUCCCAAAUGACUCCACAUCUGGCGGUCUGGAAGAACCAGACAAGGCCGCCCAAUCGUCCCACCCACCUGGAUUGGAUUUUGGGCAGCCUGAGAGGUGGCUUGAACAAGAACUCAGGGAUGGGUCUGGAGAGAAUUGUGUAACGGGGCCACUUUACCUCCAGAAUCUUCCCUCCAUGUUCAGAGAAUAAAAUGCACUGGAACCUGC